UAUCUUUGCACGCUGAUAGAGAAACUAUCACGACAUACAUCGAUCUCAUUUAAAACAAUAUUGGAAUG
Molecule: non-coding RNA, 68 nt
Organism: Dokdonia sp. MED134
Lineage: Bacteria; Pseudomonadati; Bacteroidota; Flavobacteriia; Flavobacteriales; Flavobacteriaceae
Source: Rfam